UAACUGGUUAAAAGAUCGUACUACACACAAAUAAUUGCAAAGUCCUUACAUCAGGUUUAUAGCAGUGAUGGAAUAGACUGCUGGCUUGUAAAGAAUCUCUGACUUCCAAAAGAUUGGAAGGUCCUCAGUCCAUAGUUCAAAAUGCUCCUUUUUCGUUGUAAAUCCACAGUCCAGAGACUCAAGGCAAGAAAGAGGAAAAAUGGAGAUAUCUCAGGGGUCUUUUAUAGCCUUUGUCAUGUGCCUGGAAAUUUACUGUCUCAAACAAAGCUCGCAGCCAAUGUUCCCUCUAAUUUUUGACAGGCUGUGUGCACAAAAAAUUUCUUCUGUGCAAAUUGUUCUGCUUCUGUGCAGAUUUUUGUGUGUGCGGUGUUUCGCUGUGUGUGUGGGGUUUAGGAUCUGUGUGCGCGCACACACAUGCACAGCUUAGAGGGAACAGUGCUCACAGCCCAGGUACAUGGAAAAUUGCUGGCUCAAGAUGGAGUCCAGGGUCACAUGAGCAUAUCACAUGUCUUGAUGUCUCACAGGGAGUAGCUAUUGCCAAUAUUCUUGCUGAGGCAUCCACAGGAAAAGGUACCUGGGAAGAAUGAGUUUCUUCUAUCAAUACAUAGCUGUCUGGCCUUAAUGUAAAUUUUACCCAGCGGUUGUUACCCGGGAAUUAGGGCUGUCAAGCAAUUAAAAAAAAUAAUCGCGUGACUAAUAGCACUGUUAAACAAUAAUACAAAAAUAUUUAAAUAAAUGGUAUUCUAUGUUUUCUACAUUUUCAAAUAUAUUGAUUUCAAUUACAACAGAAUACAGUUACAGAAUACAAAGUGUACAGUGCUCACUUUACAUUUAUUUUGUAUUAUAAAUAUUUGCACUCUAAAAAACAAAAUAAAUAGUAUUUUUCAAUUCAUCUAAUACAAGUACUGUAGUGCAAUCUCUUUAUCAUGAAAGUUGAACUUACAAAUAUAGAAUUAUGUACAAAAAAUAACUACAUUCAGCUUGGAAGCAGGUGGCUCCUCCUCCUCCUCCACCUUUGGGGGUCUGCUCCUCAACUCCUGUAUCCUGUACAGCAUGCUGGUUCUUCACGUUGGUGGACGAGGGACCUGGAUGGGGGAUGGGGCACUGUUCACUGGCCAAGGGGGCCAGCAACCAGUCUCCUCCCCACAGAGCAGCCAGUUCUCCUUCCUCCUCUGGUGCCGCUGUAGCCAUCUGUAAUUGGCUAGCAUUCUUUGUCUCCAUGUGCAUCCUGUGAAUUAAACCGCCAUGUUCCUGAUGCAAUGUAGAUAAGCCACCUCCUUCGGAGCUCUCUCUUAUGUGCUUUCUGAGGGACUCCAGCAAAACCACCUCUCACACCGGGUGGUUCCCCUUGCCUAAAUUUCUUCAUCAGGCACAUGCAGGCUGCAUUCACAGCAAGUCAAGACCAGGACCCAGGUAGAGGCCUCCAGGGUUAGGAUGCCUGUGUGGCCUGGGCCCCCACAAGUGCAGGCAGAGGAAGAGUCAGCAAUGGUGUUGGCAAUGUGCUAUUUUCCUCCCGUUGCAGGUUUUUUCCUUGUAGAGUACCUGAAAGUUAAGGAGGGGAUGGGGGAACCCUAUCUCUGUGCCUUCUUCUGCUGGUGAACUCAGCUGGCUAACUCCAUUAGUCUCUCAGCUGCCUCUGUCUCACCAGCUAUAUGUCGCAAUUAAAUAUGGGAGAUAGGAUCAAUUUGUCUGUAGUAAAAAUCUACAAACAGAACUGACUGUUAGGCCAGGCCUCUUGCAUUUGGGUGUGACCCUGUUGUAAUAAGUAGGAUUGCAUGAUGGGUUUGCCUGUAGACAGUGGUGGUGGAGCUGGGCUCAGUGGCCCAGGGGGUCCCUUGUAGUCCUGUGUCUUUAUCUCCCUAAAUCUCAUGUUCCAGCACUUUAGGCAGUCACUUGUAGGGGUCAGGAAGGAAACAUUUUCCUCCUGAUGUAUUUGGGGUGGAGGGGGGGAGUUGUAUCUCCUUCCUCUGAAGCAUCAAAGAUGGCCACAGGUUGAGAUGGGACAUCAGGCAGAGUUGAUUGGUGCUCUGAGACGGUACAGAGAAUUCACUUUUUUCUCAUGCUUGGCUGGCUGGUUCUUGCUCAUUGCCAUUUUUGGGAUCUGUAAGGAAUUUUACCCCAGGUCAGAUUGACAGUGACCCUGGCAUGUUUUCACCUUCCUAUGCAGCAUGAGGCAUGGCUCAUUUGCUAGGAUCAUCUGAGCAUCUCGGUUCCCUGCCACUGCCUCAGGAACUGGAGCACCUCGGUCCCUCCUUUUCAGUGUCUGUGGCACACAAUAGUUUUGUCUCCUGUGGGCUGUAAUACUUUAGUCUAAGCCAGAUCGCGGGGCUCAAUAGAGGUAAUUGGGUGUGGUUUAGCUCAGACUAGAUGAUCACGUGGCCUCUUCUGGCAUUAAACUCUAUGACUCUAUUAAGAGUUUACUUUGGAGAACCACACCCCUUAAUGACCUCUGCUAUUCGUUGUUCUAGCUACAGGACCUCUUCGUUGUGUACAGAGUUGUUCUGAUGCUACUUUCAAACAGAGAAGGCCUUUAAUCUUUGUCAGGAUGGAGAUACUGCAAACAGCAAGCUAAACAAAUAGUGAGAUUUAAUUAUAAUAUCAAAUAGACUGAGAUAGAGUCCAGUUUCCUGGAGAAUUAAGGGAGAAUUAAGAAUGUAGGCGUCAUUCAAAGAAAUUGAAAUCCAUUCAGUUCACUGCCUGUAUAGUCAAGAGAGAGGAUAUUAAAAAGGUAGUAGUCUAAACUUAACUGGGUUGAGUUACAUAAAACUGGUUUAGAGGCUGGGCUAUAUGUGAGGGGGAACAAAAUUGUGAGAAAGGAUGCUUGGAGCCUUCUCUUCACUUGUGUCUCUGUGGCGUUGAUAGACGCAAUCUGGUCCUUGCAUUCCGUGGACUGCAUGGACGACACAAGCUGUACUAGUCUAUGUAACAUGGGCAGGAUAUGGAGGAGAAAUGGCCUGAUUGCCUCUCCUCCACCUCCUCGCUGGCCAGUGAAGCAGAUCCUGUGCAAGGCAGAGUGUAUUCCACGUGUCUGAAGAGUGGCACAGCCUAGAACUCUAGAAGCCAUUGUGCCUGAGCUGAGCACAAUGCAUCCAUCUGGAUGAUCCCAAUAGGGAAGUAUGCCUCUGCACCACCUGUAACACGGGUGUCUGCUUUUUAAGACACAAUAUAACCACCUGUCAUAAUGGCACAGACAGAAGAAGACAGAUUCUCGGAGGGUGCUCUUAGGAAUACCAAAAUGUGAUGAGGAAAUAUGAAAUUGGAAGAGGUCAAAUAGAGGAAAAUAUUUCUGGGUGGAUCAUUUGGGGUGGGUGGGGUGUAGGAAGAGGCCUCCAAAGUGUGCAUGUUUCUCCUAUUUAAUCUUCGAAAAUGGGCUGCCAGUAUUUCCCUUUUAAAAUUGCAAAUAUUCUAAUUCAGAGAGAGAGUUAUGGGUUUUCAAAAAAUUGAGUAAAAGACUGUCCUUAGCCAUAUUAAUAAUGAGUUGCAAGACUGUUUGACUUUGUUUUGGGAAAAAGUGAGGAAAAUCAAAACAGACUCAAUAGGUGAGAUCCUCAGCUAGUGUAAAUUCACUGAAGCCAAUAAAGCUACUCUAUUUGACAUCAGCUGAGGAUCUGCCCCAAUGUUUUUUCUGCCUAUCUUGCAGAAAGAAGUUUGUGAUAACCUUUCCUAGAGUGAAAAUGACUUCUGAGCACAUGAGGAAUCUCAGCCAACUGGGGAACCAGAAGUAAUAACAUGACUUAAACCAUGUGAUGAAUUCCAAGAAAUCAGGGAUAGAGCUCUAAUGCACAGCAAAAAUUUGCACUAAAAUUCUUGAAGCACAGAAACCCUUAAAUGUUAAUAGAAGCUCCACAGAUUGUAAAAGGCACAAAUUUGUGAAAUAUCCAUUGUAAAACUGAAAAUAGUCCACAGUUCUAAUAUUCAUUCUUUAUUGUUGAUCCAUAUGCAUUUCCUGUUCAUUAAUCAAAACUGACAAUUAUUUGUGCGGUUUUUAAAAAAUUCUUUAAAGCAGAAUAAAUGGUGGUGCAUAAAAAGCAUAAAUGAUGUCAUUUUUAGCUGGCCACUAGAUGGCAAUCAUACCUUACUGUUAAAACAAGGUCUAAUAUGUAAAUGUAAUACUGUUGGAAAUUUUCACAUGGUUCUAGCGAAAGCUUUGGUGCUUUUGAUCACUAAUAAUAACUCUGCACUGAUAUUUAUAUUUAGUGACCUUGAGGAAACUAAAUGCAAAAAUAACAAAAUACCUUCAAAUCCUCUCAUUUAGUUGAUAUAGCUUACUUUACCAUUAGCCAAAAUAAAUGUUUACAUGGCAAUUUAUGCAUUUGUAAAGUAAUUGAUGGGGCAAAUGGGCACUUUUCUUCUAUUCUGACAUUAGCAUGUUGAUAAUAAAAGAAAAGGGGUGGGGCUGAAAGACAAAAAGCCCUCCCCCCCACCUUUAAAUGUAUUUGUGUGCUGAAUAACACUGCUUUACCAAAGUGUAUGUAAUACUUGGCUCUGUUUUCACAAUCAGCAGAGCCGGUCAAGAGCCCAAACUGUACUUACCAGCUGUCUUUUAGCUGAGCAUAAUCAUCCCUAAUAUCCAGACAUAAUCCUACAAUGUACAUUUUAUAAGUAACUACAAUUACAAAACAAAAAAGCAUCUCUUUAAAUACAUAUAUAGGUUCUGGUUGGUUUAUGUUAGUUUUACAACUAAAACAGCCCUAUUUUUUUUUUUUUGCAAGAGAUCAGUAUUAUUGUACAAACAAUAACUGGCAUAGAUGCUGUAUUGUUUAAAAUUCUUUAUUAAACGUAAAUAAAUUGUCCAUAAUUAGAUCAUGUAACUAGUAGCAGUUAACAUUCAUAUUUUUAUCAAGUUAUUGCAUUUUUUUUAUCACUAGCAAUGCAGAAAUGGAUACAGAGAAUGUCUGAGAAAAUACACUGGUUGAGGGAGCAAGAGAGAGCAUAUCAAAAUACAGCUGGAAACAGUGGGCCAAAUUCUCUGUUGGAAUAAAGUGAUGCAACUCCAUUUACCUCAAAAAAGCUUUGCCAGUAGAAAAUUUAGCCCAAUAAUUUGAUAUGGGAUCAUAGCUGACAUAUCUUUCUUUCACAAGAGCUGCAUAAGAUGAAAGGAAAUGUAUAUUUUUAUGUAAUUUAGUGUUAUGUUUUACCAAGAAUAAGUGAGAGGGUCUCUGUUUCAACCAUGCUCCAUGAAGAUUAAUCUGUUUGUUGUCUGAUGCAGUUCUACUUUUGCUUCUUGGUGAGCUGUUCAGAGCAUACAUGCAAAAGUGAUUCAUCUCUGCACUUCUUAGCUGAGAUAACAACAUUGCAAACCCUACUGUUAAGGUUAACCUGUGCACUGCAUAAGGACAGCAGAUGGAAAUUCUGGUUUGCAGCCACUGCAAAAAAAUAAAAACAUGUUCCAAAGGGAAAAGGAUCUUGUAUUUCUGUGUUUGAACCUUUGAUCUUCAUUCACAUCUGAAGGGAAGAGUAGACCUUUUGCUGAAGACACAUGGCUUUGCAUCUGUGAAAACACAGCUGUAUAUAACAAAACAAAACUGGUGAAAAAUACAAUGGUUUUGCUGUGUCAGUUUGGUUGCUAAUGUUCAAAUUCUUUACAAAUAUUGUCUUUUGAUGGAUCUUUCAGAAACUCUCUCUGACUUUACGCCAUAGUUUACUGAAGUUUUAUUCUGCAGAGUUUGAAGUUCAUAGGAAUGAUUGAGAUAUCUGCUCUAUAGCCUUUUUUAAAAGUGAGUUUUAUAAAAUAGUUUGGCACUUGGUCAAGAAUAGUAUUUUCCUAACCAUGUCCUGAAUAAUUUAAAUGAAGAGUAUGAAAACCUAUGGCGGAAACUCAAAUUGACAAAGUAGUCCUAAAAAAGCGAGCCUUGACUCAAGAAGAAAUACCUUAAGCAGCAGCAUUAUUAUUGUAGUUGUGAAUGUAUUAUAAUUGUUUACUGUUGUCUUUCCUGAAGUAUCUCAAAGCACUUUCCAUUCAUAGAAGUAUAUUCUUCAGUGUCUUUAUUCAAAUCUCAUUACAUAUAAGCACUGCAGCAGAACGGCUGGUAGGCAUGUUUCUGUUGUCCCCUGUCUUCUCUAGCACAUGCAGUGAAAUGUGACCACAUUAGCCUCACCUUCAAACCAACUCUACUGGAUGCAUAUUCAUUUCAUAAUCCAGUUCAAAAUUGUCCCUCUCUCAUGAGUUUAUCAUGAGUCUCACAAUUUUUUUUCUUAAAACCCGAGUAACUAGAAUCAGGUAAUUACAUGAGAAUCUCAACUUCAAUUUUAAAAAAGAAAGAAACUAGCCCUCAUGGCUGAAGAGAAAAGCUUGAAAACAUGAAUUCCAAAUGCUCAAAGAUCAGAAGACAAAUAAAAAGAACUCCAGCAUUGUUAUUUUUAUAAUCUCACGAUUUUAACCCAAUUUCAUAAUUUGGGGGGGGCCCAACUCAUGACGUUUGAUCUUUUGAGGUUGGUAAUAUUGCUUCAUGUUCUUAAAACUCUUCCUGGGGCUACAACAACCUAAUUCGGGAAUCAUAGGCCAGAUUCUUGAAGGUAUUUAGGUGCCUAUAGGUGCAGAUAGGCACUUCAUGAGGCUGUCAAAAGCACCUAAGUAGGUUAGGAUUGUUUUCAAUGGGACUUAAGUGAGGAACCUGCUUAGACUCUGAAAAUCUCACUAGGUGCCUAUCUGCAUCUUUAGACAUCUAAAAACCUUCGAAAAUCUGGCCUCCUGUCUCGAGUCUCCUCCAUACUUUCUCAGUUCAUCUAACAUUUGUCUCUUUUUUGUCUCUCCAUACAGUCUGGCUAUUAUUGGUGCAGGAACCUUUUCCUUUGCAGCUCUUACUGUCAGGAACAUCCUUCUAGUGUCCCUCUGCCAAACUGACUCAUCUGUUUUCAAAUCUUACCUGAACAGCUAUGUCCCCUUGCCCAUAUCUGUUAUUUUCUCUCUCCUGAUGUUACUUAAUUCUUUAAUUGUAUUGUAAGGCAUUUUGGAAUACAGGUUGUCUAAAAUACACAAUAUAAAAUAAGCAUGCUUGUGACCAUGAGUUGCAUUAUCGUCAUCUAUCUCUAGGAUGAAUAUAAGGGAUGAGGAAUUCAUUCUUUUAUUGGUUCCUCUCUGUGCCUUGUGUUUUGUACUGGAAGGGUAUACUGUUUAUUGUCUCCACAAACAAUGAAAUUAUCCCCGAUAAUGUCACGGCAAACCUGGUGGCUGAACUUUGUGACUUUGUCCUCACCCAUAACUAUUUCACAUUUGGCGACAAUGUAUACCUUCAA
This is a long non-coding RNA of Chelonia mydas (Green sea turtle), 7236 nucleotides long. RefSeq lists it as uncharacterized. The record is from RefSeq and is a predicted model, not a curated record. NCBI's taxonomy places the organism in Eukaryota, Metazoa, Chordata, Testudines, Cheloniidae. The transcript has 3 exons.